UGGGGAAUUUUGGUCAAUGGGCGAAAGCCUGAUCCAGCAAUGCCGCGUGUGUGAAGAAGGCCUUCGGGUUGUAAAGCACUUUUGUCCGGAAAGAAAUGGCUCUGGUUAAUACCUGGGGUCGAUGACGGUACCGGAAGAAUAAGGACCGGCUAACUACGUGCCAGCAGCCGCGGUAAUACGUAGGGUCCAAGCGUUAAUCGGAAUUACUGGGCGUAAAGCGUGCGCAGGCGGUUGUGCAAGACCGAUGUGAAAUCCCCGAGCUUAACUUGGGAAUUGCAUUGGUGACUGCACGGCUAGAGUGUGUCAGAGGGGGGUAGAAUUCCACGUGUAGCAGUGAAAUGCGUAGAGAUGUGGAGGAAUACCGAUGGCGAAGGCAGCCCCCUGGGAUAACACUGACGCUCAUGCACGAAAGCGUGGGGAGAAAACAGG
RNAcentral lists this ribosomal RNA (429 nucleotides) under Bacillota bacterium. RNAcentral describes it as "Firmicutes bacterium partial 16S ribosomal RNA". It matches the Rfam family "Bacterial small subunit ribosomal RNA", at positions 355 to 776 of the family's 1533-position model. Lineage: Bacteria; Bacillati; Bacillota. The record is from RNAcentral.